GAUGAACGCUGGCGGCGUGCCUAAUACAUGCAAGUCGAGCGGACGGACGAGAAGCUUGCUGCUCUGAUGUUAGCGGCGGACGGGUGAGUAACACGUGGAUAACCUACCUAUAAGACUGGGAUAACUUCGGGAAACCGGAGCUAAUACCGGAUAAUAUUUUGAACCGCAUGGUUCAAAAGUGAAAGACGGUCUUGCUGUCACUUAUAGAUGGAUCCGCGCUGCAUUAGCUAGUUGGUAAGGUAACGGCUUACCAAGGCAACGAUGCAUAGCCGACCUGAGAGGGUGAUCGGCCACACUGGAACUGAGACACGGUCCAGACUCCUACGGGAGGCAGCAGUAGGGAAUCUUCCGCAAUGGGCGAAAGCCUGACGGAGCAACGCCGCGUGAGUGAUGAAGGUCUUCGGAUCGUAAAACUCUGUUAUUAGGGAAGAACAUAUGUGUAAGUAACUGUGCACAUCUUGACGGUACCUAAUCAGAAAGCCACGGCUAACUACGUG
This 497-nucleotide ribosomal RNA is filed under the name uncultured bacterium. Its description in RNAcentral is "partial 16S ribosomal RNA". It matches the Rfam family "Bacterial small subunit ribosomal RNA", at positions 28 to 507 of the family's 1533-position model. The record is from RNAcentral.